AUUCAGCUGACGAGUCCCAAACAGAACGAAACGCGCGUCCUGGAU
This 45-nucleotide non-coding RNA is filed under the name Schistosoma haematobium. The record is from RNAcentral. Lineage: Eukaryota; Metazoa; Platyhelminthes; Trematoda; Strigeidida; Schistosomatidae.